Molecule: long non-coding RNA, 1864 nt
Organism: Oncorhynchus mykiss (rainbow trout)
Lineage: Eukaryota; Metazoa; Chordata; Actinopteri; Salmoniformes; Salmonidae
Source: RefSeq, a predicted model, not a curated record
GCCAACCUGAAAAGGUCAGUCAUAGUGUCAAAACGUAGUAUUAUUCCCGUCCACAGUAUGGUAAAUGAAAGAAAACAGUGUAGUACAUUACAGUGCAUAAUGCACACCUACCUGCAUAUCUGGAAACUGCCGUGGUAAUACACGGAGUGUACAAAACAUUGAGAACACCUGCUCUUCCAUGACAUAGACCAGUGAUUCUCAACUUCGGUCCUCGAGUAUCCCCAACAGUACACAUUUUUAUUGUAGCCCCGGACAAGCACACCUGAUUCAAUUUGACAACUAAUCAUCAGGCCCUAAAUGAGUUGAAUCAGGUCGUGCUUGUCCAGGGCUAUAACAAAAAUGUGUGCUUUUGGGGAUACUCGAGGACCGGAGUUGAGAAUCACUGACCUAGACUGACCAGGUGAAUGCUAUGAUCCCUUAUUGAUUUCAAUUGUUAGAUCCACUUCAAUCAGUGUAGAUGAAGAGGAGGAGACAGGUUAAAGAAGGAUAUUUAAGCUUUGAGACAAUUGAAACAUGGAUUGUCUAUGUGUGCCAUUCAAAGGGUGAAUGGGCAAGACAAAAAAAAUAUUGAAGUGGCUUUGAACAGGGUGUGGUAGUGGUGAAACUUAACAUUAGGAAGGUGCACUUAAUGCUUUGUAAACUCAGUGUAGGUCUUUGUCUGUUUUUUGACUACAGCAUUUACACCUGCAGGAGAACCACAUCUCAGUAGUACCGAAGGUGUUACCGAGGAACCUGCAACAGAAGGGAUAUUUGUAACACCAGCAGGUGUGUCUGGAACAAAAUUGUGAUGAACAGGACUUCGGGAAUCCUCCUGUCUCUGAGGGGUUGGAUACUGAAUACAUUAAUGGAUGAGUGUGGUCAAUCCAAAAACGAUUCCCCCACUCACAUUCCUUGAUGCUGGAGCUGAGGACAGAGGAAUUGUAUGGAGCGUACGGUUUGCUACUACCAGAGCUUUGUUUCCUCAAUGUGGCUGAUCAUAAGAUUGUUGAGGAAGAAGCACUGUCUGUAGCUGUGUUUUCCUAUGCUCAAUGAGCUUGUUAUUCACUCCAACCCACUGACCACACGGGGGAAGUGGUGACCCACGUACUGCUGACUGACUUCCUCCACGAAAGGCUGGGUAUUAGAAUUAGGUGCAAGAAGACAUCGGGGCUGGUUUCCAAGACCCAGAUUCAGCCUUGACUAAAAUACAUCCUCAAUAGACUCUCCAUUGAAAAUACUUUUUAGUCCAGGACUAGGCUUUCAGUGUCUAGGAAACUGGCACCAGACGUUGUGAAACCACCUUUUGAUAUUAUGUAUUGAUUCCAAACGACAGGUUCAAAUGCAAAAACAAUUGAAUCCACAUUUUGGCUUUGCAUUCACCUGGAAAGUUAAAUAUGACUGCAGUCUUCAUUUCAAUAUUUUGGUAAACGCUGCAUUUUGGUCUAAGUGACUCACUUUUGAUGUUGAAACUAAUUGUUGAACAUUCAUCUUUCUCUAGGUAUAAAUACAUUCCAAUGGUGCCUUUAUUGAUGCUCUCUGGAGAUGAAAGAUUGAUCACAAUGGUCAUCAGAUGACACCUUCCAAAAUGAGGUGCCAUUUUUUUUUUUGUGGUGGCUGCUGAGGGAAGGACUUUUCAUAACAGUGGCGUUCAGUGCCGUUUAUGAUGAGGGAGGAAGAUAAAAAAAAUUAAAAAAUCAUGAGCAUGUCUUCUAUUACAGCAUGUUGGAUGAUGUCAUUCAUAUUCUAUUCACCCAGUUCAAUGUAACAUCGAUGGGUUUAGGCUACUACAGUAUUCUCAAAUGUUCCCUAUACCCACCAUGACAUUGCUACAACUUAGUUUAUGUAAUUUGGUAUUGGUGACGCAUUCAAAACUGCCUUGCCUGCA